GGGCCCGUAGCUCAGCGGCAGAGCAGGCGGCUCAUAACCGCUCGGUCGUAGGUUCGAAUCCUACCGGGCCCACCU
This 75-nucleotide transfer RNA is filed under the name Clostridiales bacterium. Its description in RNAcentral is "tRNA-Met". It matches the Rfam family "tRNA". Rfam says of the family: Transfer RNA (tRNA) molecules are approximately 80 nucleotides in length. Their secondary structure includes four short double-helical elements and three loops (D, anti-codon, and T loops). Further hydrogen bonds mediate the characteristic L-shaped molecular structure. tRNAs have two regions of fundamental functional importance: the anti-codon, which is responsible for specific mRNA codon recognition, and the 3' end, to which the tRNAs corresponding amino acid is attached (by aminoacyl-tRNA synthetases). tRNAs cope with the degeneracy of the genetic code in two manners: having more than one tRNA (with a specific anti-codon) for a particular amino acid; and 'wobble' base-pairing, i.e. permitting non-standard base-pairing at the 3rd anti-codon position. The record is from RNAcentral. Lineage: Bacteria; Bacillati; Bacillota; Clostridia; Eubacteriales.